Molecule: long non-coding RNA, 407 nt
Filed under: Ursus maritimus (polar bear)
Lineage: Eukaryota; Metazoa; Chordata; Mammalia; Carnivora; Ursidae
Description: lncRNA (ENSUMAG00000011915.1)
Source: RNAcentral
AUGAUCUCUCUCUCCCUCUCUCUCUUCCUCCCUCCCUUUAUAAGGAAUGCUAUAAGGAACACCCCAUCCUACAUCACAGUAGAGUUGGUAAAGCAUUCCCGUGAUGAUCAAGCUAUCCAGUUUCUACUUGUGGCUCUGCAUCCCAGCCCACUGUAUGAUUCUGGCUUCAUCUAUGAGAGCCUGGCUGCUGUUUGCCUCCUGGUCCCCCAGCCCCCUGGUGAGGCUUCUGCAAGAGCCUUCCACCACUCCAGUGCAUGCUUGUGGCAUGAUAGAAUUUUAGAUACGGAUGCACCCAGGGAAUCUUCUGUUCUCCUCCAGUUUCCAAGAGGGAAUUCUGAGGCAUCAAGAAGGAGGUAGGUCAGAGUGAUAGUGAUGGUUCUUAGUGGAGAAUGGACUCACUUUAAAGU